CUGUGACUCCUACGGGGAGGCAGCAGUGGGGGAAUAUUGCACAAUGGGCGCAAGCCUGAUGCAGCCAUGCCGCGUGUGUGAAGAAGGCCUUCGGGUUGUAAAGCACUUUCAGUUGUGAGGAAGGUGGUGUCGUUAAUAGCGGCAUCAUUUGACGUUAGCAACAGAAGAAGCACCGGCUAACUCCGUGCCAGCAGCCGCGGUAAUACGGAGGGUGCGAGCGUUAAUCGGAAUUACUGGGCGUAAAGCGCAUGCAGGUGGUUUGUUAAGUCAGAUGUGAAAGCCCGGGGCUCAACCUCGGAACUGCAUUUGAAACUGGCAGACUAGAGUACUGUAGAGGGGGGUAGGAAUUUCAGGUGUAGCGGUGAAAUGCGUAGAGAUCUGAAGGAAUACCGGUGGCGAAGGCGGCCCCCUGGACAGAUACUGACACUCAGAUGCGAAAGCGUGGGGAGCAAACAGGAUUAGAUACCCUGGUAG
RNAcentral lists this ribosomal RNA (474 nucleotides) under uncultured bacterium. Its description in RNAcentral is "bacterial SSU rRNA". It matches the Rfam family "Bacterial small subunit ribosomal RNA", at positions 330 to 793 of the family's 1533-position model. The record is from RNAcentral.